CCCCCCACUCUGCCAGAUCACCUGAAACAGCUGUGUGGCUGUUGAGCCUGUAGGUUAGCAGUUCCCUCCAGAGCUGUUGGACAGCACACUGCUCAACUAAACUAUGUCAGAAUCCUGUUCUCCUGUUGGGCGGCUCUGUUCUCCAUUGAGGCUGGUGUUACCAAUGGAGAACUGCAAGUGACUAAUGCAUCAGAUCACACAGAAGGUCGGUACGGGAUCCCUCGAGCCUCAGCAAGUCCUACUGUCCUGUAGAGAGGGAAAGUCCAGCAGUGUUCUCUGAGCCAGAAAGGAAACCUAGAAGAUGAUUAAAGUUUUUUCCAGCUGUGUGUAUCGAGGAGGAGCCUAGUGUCUACAUGGAGAACCCGGUGAAGGUUUUCCGCCACGGGAAGAAGCUGGCGCUUCACCGAGGGACAGAUCCUGUCCUUCCUGGGCCCCAACGGAGGCAGCACCAUGUGAGUGAUGGAGCACAGCGACGGGUCCAGAGACACGUCUAGUGUGCUCUUUAGACUGU
Molecule: long non-coding RNA, 511 nt
Organism: Sander lucioperca (pikeperch)
Lineage: Eukaryota; Metazoa; Chordata; Actinopteri; Perciformes; Percidae
Exons: 4
Source: RefSeq, a predicted model, not a curated record